This 252-nucleotide ribosomal RNA is filed under the name uncultured bacterium. Its description in RNAcentral is "partial 16S ribosomal RNA". It matches the Rfam family "Bacterial small subunit ribosomal RNA", at positions 524 to 776 of the family's 1533-position model. The record is from RNAcentral.
UACAGAGGUCCCGAGCGUUGUUCGGAUUCACUGGGCGUAAAGGGUGCGUAGGCGGUGCUCUAAGUCGGAUGUGAAAACUCUGGGCUCAACCCAGAGCCUGCAUCCGAAACUGGAGUGCUAGAGUUCUGGAGGGGGUAGCGGAAUUCCUGGUGUAGCGGUGAAAUGCGUAGAUAUCAGGAGGAACACCGGUGGCGAAGGCGGCUACCUGGACAGAAACUGACGCUGAGGCACGAAGCUAGGGGAGCAAACAGG